Molecule: non-coding RNA, 762 nt
Organism: Taeniopygia guttata (zebra finch)
Lineage: Eukaryota; Metazoa; Chordata; Aves; Passeriformes; Estrildidae
Source: RefSeq, a predicted model, not a curated record
ACAGAAACAUUCUUAUUUUUUUGGUCAGAAACAUUAUUUUUUUGUCAGGAAGAUUUUCUAUUUUUUUGUCAGGAACAUUAUUUUAUACUCUUUUGUCAGGAACACUAUUUUAUAUUCCUUUUCAGGAACGUUAUUUUAUAAUUUUUUUUUUUUUUGUCAGAAACAGCAUUUUAUAAUUUUUUUGGUCAAGAAUACUAUCUUGUAUUUUUUGUCAGGAACAUUUAUUUUCUAUUAGUUUUUACCUGCUCAGUGUUUCUGCUUGAGAAUGAGACAUCAAAGGUAGUGUGCAAAGAAAAAAAUCACAGCAUGGAUGGGGCUGGAAGUGGAAUUUGAGGUGGCAUUUAAAAAAAAAGGAAAACCAAAGGUAUUUUAUAAAGAAAUUAAUGAGGUAAAUCACAGAAUAGUUGGGGCUGGAAGUGGAAUCUGAGGUGGUGUUAAAAAAAAUGGAAAACUAAAGGUUUUGCAAAGAGAUGAAUGAGGUAAAUCACAGAAUGGUUGAGGUUGGAAGUGGAAUCUGAGGUGGUGUUUAUAAAAAAAAAAAAACCAGAAAACUAAAGGUGUUGUGCAAAGAAAUUCAUGAGGUAAAUCACAGAAUAGUUGGGGCUGGAAGUGGAAUCUGAGGUGGUGUUUAAAAAAAAAAAGGAAAACUAAAGGUGUUUUGCAAAGAGAUGAACGAGGUAAAUCACAGAAUGGUUGAGGUUGGAAGUGGAAUCUGAGGUGGUGUUUAAAAAAAAAACGAGAAAACUAAAGGUGUUAUGCAAA